CCAAGUGGAUCAAGGC
This 16-nucleotide transfer RNA is filed under the name Aphanocalyx margininervatus. Its description in RNAcentral is "partial tRNA-His". RNAcentral also lists the same sequence under 4 other names. Lineage: Eukaryota; Viridiplantae; Streptophyta; Magnoliopsida; Fabales; Fabaceae. The record is from RNAcentral.